This 222-nucleotide unclassified non-coding RNA is filed under the name Hevea brasiliensis (rubber tree). Lineage: Eukaryota; Viridiplantae; Streptophyta; Magnoliopsida; Malpighiales; Euphorbiaceae. The record is from RNAcentral.
GUUUUAAUAUGUCAAGUUUCAAUUUUGCCGCGGCCAACCUUAACUAUGUUUAUACAUGAACCAAUGGAUUAAUUCACUAGCUCUAUAUUCCAUAAUUACAAGAAAUUAUCCAUUUACCUCCAACUUUCUUGUAAAAGACUAUAGUACUUGUAUUAACUAAUUGAUGCUAAAACCCUAACAAGACAACUAAUUAGCUUUAGCACUCCAACAAAUUUAAAAUUA